Molecule: ribosomal RNA, 253 nt
Filed under: uncultured bacterium
Lineage: Bacteria
Description: partial 16S ribosomal RNA
Rfam family: Bacterial small subunit ribosomal RNA
Source: RNAcentral
UACGUAGGGUGCAAGCGUUAAUCGGAAUUACUGGGCGUAAAGCGUGCGCAGGCGGUUCUAUAAGACAGAUGUGAAAUCCCCGGGCUCAACCUGGGAACUGCAUUUGUGACUGUAGAGCUGGAGUGCGGCAGAGGGGGGUGGAAUUCCGCGUGUAGCAGUGAAAUGCGUAGAGAUGCGGAGGAACACCGAUGGCGAAGGCAGCCCCCUGGGCCAAUACUGACGCUCAGGCACGAAAGCGUGGGGAGCAAACAGG